Molecule: transfer RNA, 75 nt
Filed under: Cordylochernes scorpioides
Lineage: Eukaryota; Metazoa; Arthropoda; Arachnida; Pseudoscorpiones; Chernetidae
Description: tRNA-Thr
Source: RNAcentral
UGUCCAGAGAUGGGAAUCGAACUCACAGUGUUCCGCUUACCGGGCAGAUGACAUGUCCACUAGGUUACCCUAGAC